UCAAAACUCUUAACUUAGGACUGGUGCCCUCUAGUUGCUCAAAGUGUUAGAUAGUAUUAUUUAUGGGUUACUUUCUAUGAUUCUACCUCACACCAUUUGAGAUACUACUCAUGUUCUUUUAUCAGCACAUUAAAAAUCAGCACAGCGUCUGUUUGGCACUGUGGGGCAUGCCUGCUAGAUAAUCGGGUAGAUUCCCUUGUAAGUGUGGACGGAAGAAUAGCUAAUGUGUCCGACCAAAAGUCUAACAAAAGGAGGGGGAAAUUAGGGAAGACUGGGGAGGUGGACAGGGCAUUGUCUGAGAUGGACAGGCAACAGAAAGCAAUCAAGGGAGAAUAUUUCCAGCCACUUCCAAGCAAAUGCUUCUGCCUCCACAGCCUUGGGCCGGAUCGAGUCCUGCCUUAGAGCGAGGACUGUCGUCCUUUAACCUAUUACAUAGCUGCACAGCAGCUUAGACAUGUGUGCAUAACAUACGAAACCUUCUACUAGUUCACAUCCCCCUUGAUCUGUUAGUUCUACUUCUAGGAAUUUAUCCUGUAGAAACAAAAAUCCAAAAGUUUUAUAUCCAAGUAUGUGGAUUGUAUCAUGCUGUUGCUUGCCUUUGGGUUACAUAGAAGCGAAAACCAAAUGUCUAAGAGGGGAUCGAGUAGGAAAAUUCCAGUACACUCAUACAGUGAAAUACUAUAAAGAAUUGUGGAAGAAUAUGCAAAUAAUAUAUCAAAUUGUUAGGUUAAUAAAAGUAGUUUC
Herpailurus yagouaroundi (jaguarundi) is the source of this 744-nucleotide long non-coding RNA. RefSeq lists it as uncharacterized. The transcript is spliced from 2 exons. The record is from RefSeq and is a predicted model, not a curated record. NCBI's taxonomy places the organism in Eukaryota, Metazoa, Chordata, Mammalia, Carnivora, Felidae.